RNAcentral lists this ribosomal RNA (762 nucleotides) under Centrorhynchus sp. 1 CK-2021. RNAcentral's name for it is "SSU rRNA". It matches the Rfam family "Eukaryotic small subunit ribosomal RNA", at positions 219 to 975 of the family's 1831-position model. The record is from RNAcentral. Lineage: Eukaryota; Metazoa; Acanthocephala; Palaeacanthocephala; Polymorphida; Centrorhynchidae.
AAGCCAACUUUUUCGGCCGAAAGCCGAAUGAUGAUGACUCUGGGUAAUUACUUUGAUCACAUUGCUACGUGAACAGGUGACAGCGACUUCAAGCACCUGACCUAUCAACUUGUGUUGGCAGUUGAUGUUACUACCCCGGUUGUUACGGGUGACGGGAAAUCGGGGUUUUAUUCCGGAGAGAGAGCAUGAGAAAUGGCUGUCACAUCCAAGGAUGGCAGCAGGCGCGCAAAUUACCCAAUUCCCGAACGGAGAGGUAGUGACGAGAAAUAGCGAGGUCGUGGCCUUUUGGUCCGACAAUUGAAAUGAGAACACUUGAACGACGUUAUCGAGAAUCUAUUGGAGGGCAAGUUCUGGUGCCAGCAGCCGCGGUAAUUCCAGCUCGAAGAGCGUAUGUCAAAGUUGCUGCGGUUAAAACGCUCGUCGUUGGACAUCGGGAAGUGGACCGUGGACGGCCAAGUGCUGUUACCACGUGCCCGCUCCUAGAACUACGCUUGUCUCUUGAGAUGCGCUUUGUUGUGUGUCUCGGUGAAGAGCCACUGUCACCUUGAGAAACCCAGUGUGCUCAAUGCAGGCCGACUGCCCGAAUUACGCUGCAUGGGAUGAUGAGAUGGGGUCUCGGCUCCGUUUCGUUGGUUUACGUAAGCAGAGAACAUGAUUAAUCGGGACAGACGGGGGCAUUCGUAUUGCGGUGCUAGAAGUGAAAUUCUGUGACCAUCGCAAGACGAACAACUGCGAAAGCAUUUGCCAAGAAUGUUUUCGUUA